UUGAAAGGGAAACGAUUGAAGUCAGUCGUACCUAUGGGUAAUCAGCCUUUUGGGUGUGAUUUUGUGGAGCGUGAUGAGUUAAACGCCUUCAUGCCUGCAUAUUCGUGCACUUUGGGUGUACUUGCCCUUGUGUAAGUUAACAUCAAUUUUGGUGGUCAUAAAAUGGCUGGAGGAAUGUAGCUUCGAUCUUGUAUUGAAGUGUUAUAGCCUUCGGUAGAUGUGACGAUCGGGAUUGAGGAUUGCAACGGAUACCCUUCGGGGCUACCUGUCUGAUCUCUGAUUGUUGCUCUGGUGCCGAAAGCUUGCUUACGGUUAUUAAAGUCGAUGGUCAAUAGGUUAGAAUGGGUUAAAUUCGUUAAG
This 360-nucleotide ribosomal RNA is filed under the name uncultured Glomeromycotina. RNAcentral describes it as "LSU rRNA". The record is from RNAcentral. Lineage: Eukaryota; Fungi; Glomeromycota.